Molecule: long non-coding RNA, 1278 nt
Organism: Equus asinus (donkey)
Lineage: Eukaryota; Metazoa; Chordata; Mammalia; Perissodactyla; Equidae
Source: Ensembl
AAACACCAGCUUCCACUCCUUCCCACAAGGCUGGGCUGAGAGAACUCAGGGAGCUGCCUCCAGCAAAUACAUACCCAGCAUCCUCACCACACACACGGCCCCAUGAAAAACAAGCAAAAAUGGGGCCGGCAGGAGAGGCAGACACAGAGAUGUCUAUCCAUUUCGGGGACGCCUUUGGCCCAUUCUGGAUUCCUCUGCGGCAAGCACUGACUUGCAAGCAUUGGAAGGAAUUGGUUGUGAAGGUUUUACCAAUUAGCAGGGAGCCGAGCCUCCUCCUCUUGGCUGCUCCAUGUGGAGCUGGUUGCCCUGUGGUUCUGGAUACUUUUUCUUUUUCUUUUUCUGUCGCAGCUUCUGGGGAGGUGGGCCUAGUCUCUGCGCAGCUGACAUGAGGCAGAGGGGGAUGUACCCAACCAUCUACAAGCAGCGUCCACUUAAGGUCUUCUAAACCAUCUCUGACAAGCUUCAAGGGAGGCCCAUGCCUAUGGAAUAUCUCUUCAUCCACUCCAUGGGUUCAGCAGCUCUUUUCUGGACUUUGCAGCUCUAUCCUGUCUGUUUUGAGAAUUAAUCGAGGGAGCAAUAUACUAUAAUGGAUAACUUCAGGAUCCUUGCAGUUUGCAAGUCCAGAGACCAAGCACAGGCUCUGCCGUGGAAUUGCUCUGUGACCCGGGCCAAUGUGCUUCACUUUCCUGAGCCUAUUUCCUCAUCAGGAAAAUCAGAAGAGCAAUAGCAUACUCUUUAUCAGGUUGUUAUAAGAACUAAACAAAUGAAGACUUGUACCUGUUAGAACAGCAGCGGGUCCAUACAAACAUCAACAUGAUUAUCCAGAAACACAAACAUAACCAGAUGAUUGAGUUUUUCUCUUCUUUACAUGAACGUUUGGCAACCACCAUCUCUGUGUUUGAUAGGAAUACAAUCCCAGGAUUUUUCUGACCCUAAGUAAAGUGCAGUUGAUUCCAUCUAGCCUUAAAAAAAAAAUUGUUCUAAUGUGUUGACCUUGCAUGUGCCAUAUGUAAGACCACAUAAUGCAUCUUACUGGAAGCCACGUUCAUUAUUUAUCAUUUGUUCAAUGCCCACUCUUGACCGGGCACUAUGUUAGGUAGUGAUAGCUCAAAGAAGAACAAACCAAAGCCUUUAUCCUCAGAAACCUUACAGUGUUCUUCCUAGUACGCACAUCGUUACUGUAAGCAUUGCCCUCUGUAUCAGUCAGUGUUUAAGUACUGUAACAAACAGUCCCAAUGUCUCAGUGGCUCAAUAAAGGUUUAUUUCUUAUUCACAUUG